AGGUCUACUCUGUGGAUGUUCUUCAGGCAUUUCUCUAGUAAUUCCAAUUGAUCUGGAGCAAUCAGAUUAAGUUUCUCUAAUUCGAUCACGAGAUCUAGGAAACUCUGCGAGAGCAACCAACAAGAAAAAAUGUCCAGCCUUGGGAAUUGCUGAUGAAUUACCUAUAGUCCGAAAUAAGGCGAGGGUGCCUGAGCAAGUGGGCCUCCACUGCCUUUCUGUCCAUCUUGAAGAUCCGCUUGAGCAAGUCAAACCGCCUCACUCUGUAGAGCAGCUCGGCCAAGCCCAUGGCAGACAACAUUCCUCUCUCACUUAAAAUAUCCAGAAGGUCCCUGACAUUAAGCGGAGCAACAUCUGCAGCCACAUCCCGGCACAAAAAAAGAAGCAUUUUCUUCUCGUCUUCAUCAAGUGCCUCUUCAACCUGAUGAAUGACCUCAGUAGACAUCCUGCACAGUGUCCUUCCAAAACACUGCAGUAAUAAAACUCCACUCUAGUCAAUAAAAGGCCAUGAGGCUGCUGUCUUGAUUUAUGAUGGUUUUCUUCAUUUCUUUCAAAGUCCUUUCCAACGGAGUUCUGUGGUUAAAAGGGAAUUUUUUAAAUCCUCUUAUCAAAGUAACUUAUGUCUCACAUUCAAGGUAGAGGCUCUUCCUUGCUUGCUGGUCUCUCUAACCU
Molecule: long non-coding RNA, 669 nt
Organism: Mirounga angustirostris (Northern elephant seal)
Lineage: Eukaryota; Metazoa; Chordata; Mammalia; Carnivora; Phocidae
Exons: 2
Source: RefSeq, a predicted model, not a curated record